This 211-nucleotide long non-coding RNA is filed under the name Elaeis guineensis (African oil palm). Its description in RNAcentral is "long non-coding RNA (EGUI_LNC058698)". The record is from RNAcentral. Lineage: Eukaryota; Viridiplantae; Streptophyta; Magnoliopsida; Arecales; Arecaceae.
UGGCCAAUUUAGAAGAUUAGAUCUUGAAUUAGGUUGCUUAGCAUUUUGAUUUAGCUCAUGCUAGUUAGAUCAGUCAUAUGAUGACUGAUUAGAUGAGAUUUAAACCCAAACCUUCCCAUAAAUAUUAAGUCCAUAGGUUUUCCACUGUUGUAGUGUGCGGGUAUGUUACUGGCAUUGAUUAUUCUCGAUUGGUCACAGUGGUUCAGUUGCA